CAAACCGAGAAGCUUGCUUCUCGGGGUUGUAGGACUGGACAUUGGAGUUACCAAAGUUCGACGUAGUCGAAGUCAGCUGGAAAGCUGCGCCAUAGAAGGUGAAAGCCCUGUAAACGAAACGGCGGACCCUCCGUCCAGGAUCCUGAGUACGGCGGAACACGUGAAAUUCCGUCGGAAUCCGGGAGGACCAUCUCCCAAGGCUAAAUACUCCCUAGUGACCGAUAGUGAACCAGUACCGUGAGGGAAAGGUGAAAA
Molecule: ribosomal RNA, 255 nt
Filed under: Lacticaseibacillus rhamnosus
Lineage: Bacteria; Bacillati; Bacillota; Bacilli; Lactobacillales; Lactobacillaceae
Description: partial 23S ribosomal RNA
Rfam family: Bacterial large subunit ribosomal RNA
Source: RNAcentral